CUGUGUUUUUUUAUUGUACCUGGUCAUUGCAGUGUCGUCUCUGCAGGACUCUAUGAUGUCGCUCUGUGAAAAACAUGUCUGCUGUGUGCGAGCUCAACAGCUAGCGUUGUAAACCCAUCAAGAGUUGCCAUGGUGACCUGGUCCGGGCUUGGACCAGGGAUAAAAAGUCCAUAGCAGCCCGAUACACGCAGAUCUGCGGAGACAGGUGGCUGUAGGUGUAGAGAGCUCCUCCUGUCAGAUAUGGAAUGUGCCCCGGCCAAGCCCCGCCCACAUCUUGCUGGGAGAGAAGGAACAGGUGAACGCCGCAGCCCUGACCCACGCACUGAUUGGCCAAUGAGAUAGCUGACUCUGGCGGCUGAAAGAUGGACUGAGGGGAAAAAAAGAGGGAAAAACAGCGAUCAAUGUUUCAUUGUAAGUGAACCACAAUAAAGUGACUCCUUAAAACUGUGGGAGAAGGAUGAUCUGACUAGUAUGUGAGUAAUUCUGACCCGUGUCCCAAAAAUAUUUUUCUAGAGACUAAUAGUUGUGGGAUAGUACAUUAUACUGUAUGGUACAGGCUAUAAUGUAUGUGUGUGGAUGUGGGUUAAGUACCUUCGGUUUGUUGGAGCCAAAAAACCCUGAGGAUGAGUUUGCAUGUGCCAUCUCUAUUAGAGGGGCAGUAUGGAAGAGCAACAGCUUUCCAGGACAAUUCAGAGCCUAGAAACAACAUGAAUAAAGUUUUUAUUAUUGUCCUUGCAGUGCCUUGAUGAAAUAAAAAGGAAACAGCAACAUUAUCAUUUCUUUUUGUGCAGCCAUAUUGAACACAGAAAACGUCAAUCAACUUUGAAGAAAACCUGCCAGUGUGAGUGCGAGCUAGAGCCUCACCCGAUUAAUCGGCUGAUAUUAUCAUAUCAAGUGAGUGUGUUAUAUGGAUUACAAAGCAUUAUCACUCUCCAGGCUGUCAAGCGGUGAUGCACAUACAGGCAGUUAUUUUCCAGUUGAGUGAUGCGUCUUCAUUUUUUUUCUUUUCCACAAAUGUAUGAUAACUGUAUGUGAGGGAUCAACACAAUAAAUGUGUAAAUCUAUCUCUAAAGUUCAAAGAUCGAUCUAAUAAAGAUAUCGGCUGACAAAUCUUAGCAGAUUUUUUCUCUCUCACUAAUAUCAAUAUUGGCCCCAAAACUCUCACACCGGUCAGGCACUAGUGUGAACAGUGAUUACUGACCUGCAGCACAGCUAGCCCUGCUUUGACAGGCAGCUCUAUAGGAACUCCAUCAGAGUCAUCACUCUCUGGACCAAACUGAGGAAUAAGCUGUAAAACACUGAACACACAAACAACAAAGAGGUGACAUGCCAAAGAAUUAAUAAAUAAAUAAAGUGAUAAAAUCACCUUAAAAAAAAAAAAAACAGGAAAUGCCCGUUUAUAAAAUGAAGUAUUUAGGAAAUGUUUCUUUACUUUCUGGAGAUGACAACAUUUUUGUUUAAGGAUUUCAAUUGCGUGAGAUAUUUUGUAAAGUGUCUUGAGAUGACAUUUGUUAUAAAUAGGCGAUAUACAAAUAAAGAUUGAUUGAUUGAUGAUCAUAGAAUAAACAUCAGCCUGUAGUUUACUUAACAGUACGCACACAAAAAAAGGUACAGGGGUUUUUUAUUGACUGCCAUUGCCUUUUUAAGUGAGUGAAUUGUGUUUGCCUUUUGCUUUUUUAUCUACUGUAUUUAUUGACCACUGGCCUCUUACUUUGUAGUGUCUUUUUAUGUUGUAUUGAUUGUUGGUUGGAUGAAAGUACUGUAUGUUUUCCUGCUGAAUGCAAAACAAACUCUCCCUCUCACUGGGAUAAUAAAGACUACCUUGAACCCUG
Molecule: non-coding RNA, 1832 nt
Organism: Labrus bergylta (ballan wrasse)
Lineage: Eukaryota; Metazoa; Chordata; Actinopteri; Labriformes; Labridae
Source: RefSeq, a predicted model, not a curated record